CAGCAGCUGGAUUUUUCACUUGGCGCUCUCCCUCGCGAAAACCCUACUCUCUGCCCUUUUCCUUUUCCAACAACCCUUCCAUCUCAGCAAAUCCCUCCUUCUCAAAGCCAUUUCCUCUACAAUCCCAUUUUCUUGAUUUACGAGUUUCAUCAUCAACGCAUCUCCUUUCGAUCUAGAGUCAAACUGCAAAGGUUCACUAUAAUCUUCUUGUGGACAUGUCUUUUCCAAUAACACCUUCUAAGAGACCCUAUGAUAGGAAUCCUUUAGAGCUGAAUGGAAGGGCAAAGUGGCAAAAGACUGCAGCUUUCAAUCCACAGCUUCAACCACUGAAAAUACCCCCUGGUUCCACUGCUUUUCGGGUACUUUGUCCUGCUUUGAAGUCGGGCAGUGUUAUCGGUAAAGGUGGCACCGUUGUAAAUAAGAUACGCAAAGAAACUGGCGCAAAGAUCAGAAUUGAGGAAACUAUCCCUGGGUGUGCUGAAAGAAUUAUUGUUAUAGUGGGUUCUGAUAAAGAUGCAGAAACUAGCAAUGACCAGAAGAAAUCAGAUGAUGAAUCUGAUGAUAUUGCUAAUGACUCUGAUGAUGCUGGGGAACAAGAUGAGAGCAAGGAUGAUAAGGAAGUUGCUCCUAUAGAGAGUCCACAAUCUGAAAAGGCAAGUUCAUCUGCACAAAAGGCUUUGUUGCGUGUUUUUGAGAGAAUGGUCGAAGUAGAUCCCGAGGUGGAUGGGGAAGAUGAAGCGAGUAAGAAGUCUUCCGCAGUUUAUGUGAGAUUGCUUGUGCUUUCUAGCCAAGUUGGUUGCAUUCUGGGGAAGGGUGGAAGCGUAAUUAAGCAUAUAUCUGCAGAAAGUGGGGCGCAGAUCCGGAUCCUUCCUAGGGACAAGCUUCCUUCAUGUGCUUCGCCCUUUGAUGAACUGGUCCAGAUAACAGGAGGGUUAGAUGCAGUUAGGAAAGCUCUUCAACUGGUUUCUCAACAGCUUCUUGAGAACCCACCUCGUGACCGUGAUUCAUUUCCUGCAAGCAAGACUGCCGGGCCAUCAUCUCAUCCGUUUACGCCUCUUCCUCAGCCAGAAAUUUACCCACCUGCAAUUCAUCAUUUCCCUGUUCAAGGGGCACCAUAUGCUGUCAGGCCUCAUUCUAGCUCUGAUUUUCAUCCAAGCAUCACCCCAUCUAUUCCUAAAUUUCAUGAAACUGAAAGUGUUAUCUUGGGUCGAAUGAGGACUUCUCAGGAAAUACUCACAUUCAGGUUGUUGUGUAUGGAUGAUAAGAUCGGAGGUGUGAUAGGGAAAGGAGGGAGCAUAAUAAAAGCGCUCCAACACGAAACAGGUUGUGAUAUCAAAAUUCCUGAUGCUGUUGCUGACUCAGAUGACCGUGUCAUAAUUAUAUCCGGCCCUGCACAUCUGGAUGAUAGGAUCUCUGCUGCACAGGAUGCAGUCCUUCGAGUUCAGAGCAGGGUUUUGAGACCUGUAUCUGACGGUAAAGAGAAAAGUAUGUCGUCUAGGCUUCUUGUUCCUUCUAAUCAGAUUGGUUGCCUUCUUGGCAAGGGCGGUGCCAUAAUAGCUGAAAUGAGAAAGGCAUCUGGUGCGUACAUACGUAUUUUGGGGAAGGAUCAGAUCCCAAAAUGUGCCUCGGAAAAUGAAGAAGUAGUUCAGAUAAAUGGGGAAUUUGAGGCAGUUCAGGAAGCGGUGUUGCAAAUAACUUCAAGGUUGCGGCAUCAUCAAUUCCGUGAUAAGUUUCCUUCCAUGAACCAUCCACCACGUUCUGCUUUUCCCGAUCAAGGACCUCCUUUUGUUCCCUACAUGGGAAGGAGGGAUCUUUCACCACCUGGAAUGUAUUCUAAUUUGGGCCUCCCCUUUCACAAGUUUGAUGGUGUUGGGGGCCUUCCUCAUCAUGAUGAACGAUCUGCUUUUGCUCAUGGCAUUCACAGACAUGGCUUCCCCCCACAUAGUUCUGAAAGACUACCAUCCUCAGUGCCAUGGGCAGCUCAGGGCACACGGGAUGGUGGUGGUCCAAUUGGAAUUUCAGAUUACACAGGAGCUCCCCAGCGAAGAAUGGGUGGAGCUGGAGGUGGAAGCCAGCCAUCUUUUAUCACAAGCACGACUGUAGAAGUUGUUGUUCCUCGAUCACUUGUUGCUUCUAUCUAUGGAGAGGAUGGAGGCUGUUUAAAACAGAUACGCGAGAUUUCUGGUGCUAAAAUUACCAUCACUGAUACUGCACCUGGGGCAACUGAGACUGUCAUUAUAAUAUCGGGAACACCCGAACAGACCCAUGCUGCACAGAGCCUGCUUCAAGCAUUUGUAAUGAGCGGGACAGCUUCCCCCUGAUUUGCCGUAGUAGACAGAUACUCUGGCUUUUCACGCUGCCGUUGAAUAGCCUCAAAGGUGUACCUUCAGAUUUGUGCCAAUCAAGAAGACUGAAUGGAUGAAUUUUAAAAAAAUGAUUGGAAGAAUUCAACAGUGAUGAGGAAUCCACCUUUCCGGCAAGUAAUAUUGAGCAGCUCCCAGAGAAAGUAUUGAGGGAGGUGAUCCAUCAGAUACAACUGUUGUAUGUAUGUUGUCAUGAUGGAUCUCAGUUGGUUUGUGAUACUGAUGGCGAUCAUGGGCACUUUUAGAUCAAUGGUACUUGCACCAAUCAGCUGGAAAAACGUGGGGAGACCCUUCUAUUUUGCAUCUUGGUGCUUCUUUUAGCGUCAAUUUUGUGGAGUGUAUAAUGGUUGCAAGAGGGAGAUUAAACUUGGAUCACCUAACUUUUGUAAAAUAACCAACUUACCUUUUUAUUCUAAUUUUUUAUUUUUA
Molecule: RNA transcript, 2792 nt
Organism: Magnolia sinica
Lineage: Eukaryota; Viridiplantae; Streptophyta; Magnoliopsida; Magnoliales; Magnoliaceae
Gene name: RNA-binding KH domain-containing protein RCF3-like
Exons: 10
Source: RefSeq, a predicted model, not a curated record